Molecule: non-coding RNA, 29 nt
Filed under: Mus musculus (house mouse)
Lineage: Eukaryota; Metazoa; Chordata; Mammalia; Rodentia; Muridae
Source: RNAcentral
UAAAGGAGCAAUUAAGGGAAGAUAAGAGA